RNAcentral lists this ribosomal RNA (329 nucleotides) under uncultured Desulfocapsa sp. Its description in RNAcentral is "bacterial SSU rRNA". It matches the Rfam family "Bacterial small subunit ribosomal RNA", at positions 1051 to 1382 of the family's 1533-position model. The record is from RNAcentral. Lineage: Bacteria; Pseudomonadati; Thermodesulfobacteriota; Desulfobulbia; Desulfobulbales; Desulfocapsaceae.
GUCGUCAGCUCGUGUCGUGAGAUGUUGGGUUAAGUCCCGCAACGAGCGCAACCCUUGUCUUAGUUGCCAUCAUUCAGUUGGGCACUCUAAAGAGACUGCCGGUGUCAAACCGGAGGAAGGUGGGGAUGACGUCAAGUCCUCAUGGCCUUUAUGACCAGGGCUACACACGUACUACAAUGGCCGGUACAAAGGGCAGCCACUUAGCGAUAAGGAGCCAAUCCCGUAAAGCCGGUCUCAGUCCGGAUUGGAGUCUGCAACUCGACUCCAUGAAGUUGGAAUCGCUAGUAAUCGCAGAUCAGCACGCUGCGGUGAAUACGUUCCCGGGCCUU